CCAACAUACCAAGACUAAUAUAAAAAGACACUUAUUGAAGUAUCAGUAAGGAGGACUUCUGGGAAGAUGGCAGCAUGGUAAGCAGCAGAUGGGGGGCCUCUCUGAGGUUUUGUGUCCAGGCACUGGCAUAUAGCAACGUGAGGAAGAGAAGGAGGAAAAUGGGUCCCCAGGACCCAGGAAGGAUCUGAAGCAAGAAUUUAGGCCCAUGGGGAGAGCCAAGAGAGUGAGUCUUCCAAAGAAGGAGGUAAAAGGUGUCACCUCCUACCUAAGCCUGAACUCACUGCGUGGGAAAGACAGCUCAAACUUGCCCAUGAACUGUGACUACUGGUGAUCCUGGCGACCCCAGAGACCUACAUGGAUUAAUGCAUCAGUGGAGCAGAGUGGUGGACUCAGUGGCCUGCAGUGGUUGGGGGUGCCUUCAAGUCUUCCGGACAAACAUGCCUGCCCUCCUGCAGACCCAGGAUUCUAUUCUGCCUCACACAUCCCCAACACAACUGCCAGCUGAGUUCUAAUUGCAGAAUCUUCAUUACCAGGGACGAUUGAAACUAUAAAAAGAAACCAGCUGAAUUUUUCACAUCCUGCUGGGUGAGCACAAGGCCUGGCUUUCCUGUUCCUGCCCUCCUCCUUCCCCCAGCAAUUAUCCCUUCUACAUGUGUGAUCUGGCUUCUGCCAGAAGCUCUGAGCAAUUGAUAGAUGUUAUCUCCCUUCUCCUCCAACCUCCCUCCCCAGGAGGUAGGAUGGUGACCAUGACAAAUAUGUCUGACCUUCCUCUACAGCCUCAGAAACAGGAGGUUCAUUCAUUUCUUAACUUCUUUACCUAAGUUUCUUGUUCAAAGUCACCUAGUGGUGAGUGACCAUCGAUAACAGACAUUUCUCCUAACCUCAGGCUACAAAUUUGUCUUUUUCUGUUACGUUUGUUCCAUCAGUGAGUAUUUAUAAAGUACCUGCUGAGUAAUCAGGAUUGAGUUAAUUAUGGUGAAGGGGAAUAUCCAGAAGCAAAAGGAUACCAAGCAAUUAAAAAUCCA
This 1025-nucleotide long non-coding RNA is filed under the name Heterocephalus glaber (naked mole-rat). RNAcentral's name for it is "lncRNA (ENSHGLG00000041883.1)". The record is from RNAcentral. Lineage: Eukaryota; Metazoa; Chordata; Mammalia; Rodentia; Bathyergidae.